GGGUUGUGAGGUUAAGCGACUAAGCGUACACGGUGGAUGCCCUGGCAGUCAGAGGCGAUGAAGGACGUGCUAAUCUGCGAUAAGCGCCGGUAAGGUGAUAUGAACCGUUAUAACCGACGAUUUCCGAAUGGGGAAACCCAGUGUGACUCGUCACACUAUCAUUAACUGAAUCCAUAGGUUAAUGAGGCGAACCGGGGGAACUGAAACAUCUAAGUACCCCGAGGAAAAGAAAUCAACCGAGAUUCCCCCAGUAGCGGCGAGCGAACGGGGAGGAGCCCAGAGCCUGAAUCAGCAUGUGUGUUAGUGGAAGCGUCUGGAAAGGCGCGCGAUACAGGGUGACAGCCCCGUACACAAAAGCGCAUGUGCUGUGAGCUCGAUGAGUAGGGCGGGACACGUGGUAUCCUGUCUGAAUAUGGGGGGACCAUCCUCCAAGGCUAAAUACUCCUGACUGACCGAUAGUGAACCAGUACCGUGAGGGAAAGGCGAAAAGAACCCCGGCGAGGGGAGUGAAAAAGAACCUGAAACCGUGUACGUACAAGCAGUGGGAGCACCUUCGGGUGUGACUGCGUACCUUUUGUAUAAUGGGUCAGCGACUUAUAUUCUGUAGCAAGGUUAACCGAAUAGGGGAGCCGUAGGGAAACCGAGUCUUAACCGGGCGUUAAGUUGCAGGGUAUAGACCCGAAACCCGGUGAUCUAGCCAUGGGCAGGUUGAAGGUUGGGUAACACUAACUGGAGGACCGAACCGACUAAUGUUGAAAAAUUAGCGGAUGACCUGUGGCUGGGGGUGAAAGGCCAAUCAAACCGGGAGAUAGCUGGUUCUCCCCGAAAGCUAUUUAGGUAGCGCCUCGUGAAUUCAUCUCCGGGGGUAGAGCACUGUUUCGGCUAGGGGGCCAUCCCGGCUUACCAACCCGAUGCAAACUGCGAAUACCGGAGAAUGUUAUCACGGGAGACACACGGCGGGUGCUAACGUCCGUCGUGAAGAGGGAAACAACCCAGACCGCCAGCUAAGGUCCCAAAGUCAUGGUUAAGUGGGAAACGAUGUGGGAAGGCUCAGACAGCCAGGAUGUUGGCUUAGAAGCAGCCAUCAUUUAAAGAAAGCGUAAUAGCUCACUGGUCGAGUCGGCCUGCGCGGAAGAUGUAACGGGGCUAAACCAUGCACCGAAGCUGCGGCAGCGACACUGUGUGUUGUUGGGUAGGGGAGCGUUCUGUAAGCCUGUGAAGGUGUGCUGUGAGGC
RNAcentral lists this ribosomal RNA (1235 nucleotides) under Salmonella enterica. RNAcentral describes it as "partial 23S ribosomal RNA". It matches the Rfam family "Bacterial large subunit ribosomal RNA", at positions 1 to 1269 of the family's 2925-position model. RNAcentral also lists the same sequence under 1 other name. The record is from RNAcentral. Lineage: Bacteria; Pseudomonadati; Pseudomonadota; Gammaproteobacteria; Enterobacterales; Enterobacteriaceae.